Molecule: long non-coding RNA, 6026 nt
Organism: Cuculus canorus (common cuckoo)
Lineage: Eukaryota; Metazoa; Chordata; Aves; Cuculiformes; Cuculidae
Exons: 9
Source: RefSeq, a predicted model, not a curated record
GUUAUCGUUCACUGGAUGACUUCUUUUACCGUGUGGGCUCUGAGGCUCCAGGAAUACUUGGCUUGACAUCAGCAAAAUGACAGGAGAGCCGACUGCACCCCUACUGAACCCUUCUUAGGAUAAGAUCUGCUGGGAAUCUGCACAUCACCUCAAAUUAAAAGCAUCCUGGAGCAGACUUCAGUCUUGGUUUUCACUUGCUUUGUAACUCCGAAGAGUGAAUGAAAAUGUAACUGGCAAUGUUUUGCAGGAGAAGCAGCAGAGAGGAAGCUUUGAGCAACAGUGCUUCGAGGGGUGUGAGCAGGUACUCUGGUGUGUUGGCAAUGGAUGGAGUUACUGGCGCACAAGCAGGAAGUGACUGCUUCUGGAGCAUUUGACAGGACACUAACCCAAACCAGUGAGGCUGCGAGGGUGGCUCUCUCAGUCUUUGUAAGGCUGAGAGGUCUGCCCAGGCCCCUGAGGAAGGCUCAGGUCAUUUAAGGUGACUGCAUCUGCAAAACCAAAUAAUGAGACAUAUUUUAGGGUCACCAAAUGUUUAAGAACUCCCGAGUAUGAUUGCAGUGCAUAAGUUGAAAUAAAGCUUACCUGGAGCAGAACAACUAAUAAAAAGAGAUUUGAGGUGUCCCAGCAGUAUCCUAUCUCAGAUAAUCUCUUCCUAUGACAUUGAUUUCCUUGGGCAGAAGAUUAAGCACUUUUAAAUGAAUUAUAGUGAUUUUACUUUUAGCUGUCCUUGCAUAUUGCUGCAAUUAUCAGUGCAGUCUUUCAGUUACCCUACUGCCAUCACAGAUCUAAAAAGGUUAAUAACAAACUGCUAGGUCUGUGUAUGUUUGAUAUGUCAGUAUCCUGUAGAAUAAACACUUCUAAUAUUUAGUUGAAAUUAAUUUCAUACCCCUGCCCAAACAAGGUUGGCUCACCACUUAUCAAAGAUGUUUCAAGGUGAAUUUUAGAUGGGACUUGUAGUGGCUUUUUCCAUUGGGUAAAUUCCACUUCACUUGAAAAGGUUUCUCUAGUGGGUCAUUUAAUAGACAAAGGUCAAAGUGUGGUCAAGGUGUUUAAAAUCCAGGGCAGCAUUCAGACAGAGAUCUUAGCUACUGCCUAGGCUAAAUGUAUAAACAUAAGAACUUUAAUCCCAAAGAUUGAGCAAAGGAGCAUUUUUGUUAAUAUUUGUAGUAUCAGGACAUACUCCAUUUUUAGACUGUAUCCCUUGUAAGUGGAGGUGCCACCGUCUGCACUAAUGCUAGAAACAGCCCUAAGAGCCAUAUUGCUGGAGAUAUUCCUUCAGAUUAGUGUUCCUGCAAGACACUGCGUGGUGCCGUGUGUAUCUCACUUUGCAUCCAGCUCACAAAGGGUGGCCCAGCUAAGGUGCCUGGAAGACCUCAGCCACAUGAGGUGUUCUGACACUUUCUUACCAAGAGUUUCAAAGCUCUAUUAACUGACACUUCAAACUGAUUGAAUUUAAUGAGAGCAUUUCCACUGAUAUCAGGCUUUGAUUUAUACCCUUAAUACAUAAUGCAUGGUUUCAAAUGCGAGUCUUAAUAUCCUUAUCCAAUCUAUAUCUCUUCCAAGUUAAAUACAAAUAAACAGAGAGAAGGAUAAAAAAACCCACAGGACAAGUUUAAGAGAUUUCUCUAUGUUAGAGGCAAUUCUUGGAUAAAGCCAAGAAGCAGCAGGUAACAGGGUCUUUUCCUUAGGAAUUCGGAGUCUUUGGGACUCUUUGCAGCCAGAUCAUUAUACCGCUGAGUUAUUUUCUAUCUGAAAAGGCAACCAAACCUCUCAUGCAAUAGUUAGACUGGUAAGGUUAGUGGACUAAAAGCCUUGUAUGUUUAUGUUAAUUAAAUCUGUCAGCCACUGUAUUUUUCUUCUAUUUUUAGUCUGAUUUUCUAAGAAAAUGAGGCCUUUACAGUCACAGUGGCUGUCCAUCUGUUGGUCCCCCCCUGCUCCUCUCCAUAACUUUCAAACUGUCAGCAAAUUUCAGCCAAUCUGGAAAGAAAGGAAAGCAUCUCAAAGAUAAUUACCAUUUUUAUGACUUUCAUAAAGACUGGUGGAAAUUUUCCAAAGGCUUGAUUGAUGUCCCCUCAAGGUAAAGCUGAGAUUAUUCAUCCACUGCACUUUGUUUGCCCUGAUGUACGAAACCCAUCUGCCCUGUUGUUGUGUGAGUAGCUUUAAACCGGCUACAGCACGGGACAUUUCUUGCUCACCUCAGAGCAAUGGAAAAGUAAAGAUUUUGUGUGAGUCAGAGAUGUCACUGAAUACUUGCAGGGAGUUGGAGGGGAACUGCAAAGUAUCUGAAGGGAAACAGAAAUAAGCAAGACCACUCUGCUGAAUUGGUGAUGGCAACAAGCAAGAGAUACCUAAAAGCCCAAAGUGUAGCCCAUGACUGUCUCGGAGACCUUGCGAUAUCUCACGAAAUCCCUCUGGGGACUACUGCACCUACGUACCUGAGGAGACUGCGAUCCUGCAGCUUUCCAGAAUCUCAGAUCUGUUGGAGAUUUUUCUUCUUUCCUUCCUUUGAAGGAAAGGAUCCCAAGUGCUUUCCCAAACUGACCUAUGCAGCCUCUCACAAGGCCAGAAAUUAUUGACAUAAGAUGGGGAAGCAUUGGAACGAGUGUUGGAAAUGGCUUUCAGCCUGAGAAAGCAGCAUCCUGUGCUCAGUCCCACUGUUUCCACUGAGGUGUGAGCAGCCUUAACUGUCGAAGACUGAGGAACAUCUGUACACCCACAUCUCACCUGUCCUAUUCUCCCAGAGUCAUAUCCAAGGGGACAGGGAAGUGAGUAAGGCUCCCUACAUAGAACUGAGAGAGGGGAAGAAGCCAGUAUAUGCUGUAUUGGAAGCAGAGGAGGAAUGAAGGAAACGGGCAUGAACCCCUGCCUCAUCCUCACCACAUCUGCUCAGGAGAAGAGAGCCAUCACAGGUGGUCAGCAAACUGCACAUCUGUCAUGAACGUAACAUGUUCCUUCUCUUCUGGAACAAGCUAUAAGCACAAAGUAUUGUGGUCACCUCCUGUGAUCACACACGAGACCCCAUGAUUGCCCAUCUGUUGCUACUCGCCCAGUUGUUCUGCGGAGCUCCAUUGCCUGUCUCGGCAUCCCAUUGCAGAAAGGACUGGGGGAGGUACUUGCCAUGCUUCUCAUAUGAGAUACGAAUUGUGGUUUUACCUGUCCUGCUUAGUAUGAUUCACAUAUUGCCACAUAAAAAUUUAUUAUUUACUCUUGCUGAAAACCAAGGAUUUUGAUGCAGACUUCCUUGAUCCCUAGACCUGAACACCCAAAAGCACAGUGAGUUUUCACCAAGCAUUCCUUAAAGAACAACCCAAUAUGAGAACUCUUCCCGCAAAUUCCACAUGAAUGCCUGUAAUCAGCCAUGCCAAUUGACUGCAGACUGCAAACAGCCAUAGACAGGUUUCCAAACAGUUAAUUUCAAAUAGCUCAUUUUCUGUCAUCUCCACACAAGUUUCUGUCAUGUUGCAUUACAUGUAAACAACUCAGAAAUUUAAUGACAUGUCUUUCAGUCAAAACCUAGUAUGGCUUUUCAGUCUGAACAGAUUAAUUGUGGUUUGUAACAAUAUAAAAUGCAGUCUGAUUAGAGUUUCUAUUAUUCUUUGAGACAGAAUAUUGUAUGUGAAUAUAAAACCAAGUUUUCUGCUGGCAUGACUUUAUUGACUUCUGUGGAAAAAUAAAAUACUCAUGUAAAAUCCAUAGUACAUCAUCGUUCAUGUGCUGUUAUAGUAAAGAAAUUUUAUAAGAUCUGUAAAUUAGAUGUGCCAAAUCAUAUUCCAGACCCUAUGGAAAUGACAUUGUCAAUGAAGUGAGUCAAUAGGAAUAUUUUGCUUUGGAGGAGACACUUCUAUAUGAAUCUUUUAACACAUGAUAGUUUUGAAAGUUUUUCCUACUUUCAUAUUUUUUUCACUGUGUCUGUGUUCUCCUUGCUCUUAAAAACCACAUACUAUUCUCUCUAGUUUCAUUACUAUGUAAUCCAGACUUGUUUUUCUAUUCUUGCUACGGGGCAUUGCUCUGGUUUUGUAGCAGUCCUGUUGACACGAGCUCAGAAGCCCUGCACCACAAGUCCUAGUUGUCAACAGGAUUGAUGUAAAGAACUUCAGUGAAACCUCUAUGAAUACAUUCCUCACCGAGCAAUAUGCCCCUCAACACCUUAGGAGGGGAUUUUCCUCUUCCUUUUUAUCAUCUCCAACUUAUCUCCUUUUAUUUUUGUAAAGCAAAACAUCGCAGAAAAGACAUUCAAAUUAAUAACUAAAGCGUGGCUUGCUCGAGAGUUUUUUGAGGUGGGAUGGAAAAUCCCUCUGAGGCAGAUAUCCUAACGCAUAGCUGUUUGGCUCAGUCUCUCCCUUUGAAACUUUUGUGGUUUGUUUGUCUAUUGUUUUAUGUAAAACCAGUUUUCUUUACUUUAGUUGUCUUCGUUUGUUUUUCCAGUUUGCAGAAUGCCAUGAUUGGGGGUGUUCAGAGAAGUCAGAAGUUGUUUGCGGUGUUUUGAAUCCCCUGUAGCUGCAUGGGGGGGCUGAAAUUUUUUUAACAAGUGUGUGGGCUUGCCAAUGCAAUUCUACCCUGUCCACGCUGCUGGACUAAUAAUGAAGGUCACAAAUAUUGAACAGAAACUGCCAAUGUCUGGUUGUUUUAACUCUUGUUGAGUUAUCAGGAUUCCAACAGGGUUUCAAUUCUACAGGACUAGCACAUUUUAUAGAACAGGAGACAUUUUUAAUGUACUAUUUGCAAUAUUACAUUUCACUGUUACCAUACUGCCUGACACUGGGGACCAAAGCAAAAGUACUAGAUGGAAAAGCACAAGCUUUGAACUAAAGCUCUGUGUAUUGGCACAGGGGAACAUGUAGUUCACACCACCAGUGGGGCAUGUUCCAUAUGGAUCACAUUAAAACAGGCUGCAGAACUGUAGAUGAUUAAAUCAGCAUUAUAAAAUCCUGAAAAAUUGUAAAAAUGGGGGAAAAAUACAUUACCAAAAUAUUGAGUUAUUACUUGGAUAUAUGCAGAAAUGCUUUCUAUAGAAAUAGAUUCUUAAUCCUUGUCCAUUUCUGUAAGGCUUCCUCUUUAUUUUCUUUAUCCAAUCUGAGGGGACAGAGGCUUUUAGCUUUUGGUGGGAGAGUUUUUGAAAUAAGCUGCACAUAAUAGCAUGAUUGGAAGCACAAUUACUGUAAAUUCUUCCAUUUCUGGCUGUGAAGAUCCCUAAAGGCAGCAGGAACCACUAUUGCUGCCCAUGUAGUUUGUCCCUUGAGGGUUUUGGUUUUUUUAAUUUUAUAUAUCCAGCCUAUCUACUGUAACCCAUCACUCCUUAGGCAAGUACAUAGUGUUUCAAUCUCAGAUUGCAUGUUUGUACAUAGUUUUUGCUUUCCAUGGAAAACUUAAGGUGAAGUAUUACUUAAUUAUUCAAUAAUUUUAUGACAAAUUAAUUCCUCUUCUGGUGACUAUCCUUAUGUUGGUGAAUAUUAAGGCAUGGUACAAUAUAUACCUACCAUGAGAAUGUUUAGCUGCUCUUAAGUCAGAGGCUGUUAGGAAUAAAAAAAACAUCUGACAGAACCAGGUUUUAAUUUUUAAAAAAGGAACCCUUCAGGAAGAUGUUUUCGAGUCCUUAUGUCAAUGUCAGUUGAACAUCACUGAUCAUUUGUGUCACUGUAUAAACACCAUUCUUUUAUGACUGUGGUAGGCAGAACAUAAGGGUACUAGAAAGAAAAUACGGCUUUACAUUGGAUUUUCCUUAACUGAGCUUUCUCAAAGCAAUGUGGGUUGACUGCGUGGGCAAAAAAGAUAUAUAGCAGAGAAUGACAGAAAUCAAAACUAAGAGGGAUGCAUUUCCUUAGAGCUACUGCGGCUAUCUAUCUCCAAACUUCACUAGUCAAGAACUGUUCACUGUAGCAUAGCCCAGAUUUAAUCAGAAUAUUUAUUUGUUCACAAUCACUAGUCGUAAGUAUCAGAAACUCUGAAAACAAGAGAUUAUAUUUUCUUCUUUCUUCAGAGUCUAUUUUGUCUACUGAAUGAAGAGUAAAUCAUUACAGAAGCGCAGA